RNAcentral lists this ribosomal RNA (483 nucleotides) under uncultured bacterium. Its description in RNAcentral is "bacterial SSU rRNA". It matches the Rfam family "Bacterial small subunit ribosomal RNA", at positions 32 to 524 of the family's 1533-position model. The record is from RNAcentral.
AAUCAACGCUGGCGGCGUGCCUCAGACAUGCAAGUCGAACGCGAAAGUCCCCUUCGGGGGAUGAUUAGAGUGGCGCACGGGUGAGUAACACGUAGGCAAUCUACCUUCGAGUGGGGAAUAACUCAGGGAAACUUGAGCUAAUACCGCAUAAUGCAGCGGCACCACAUGGUGACAGUUGUUAAAGCAUUUAUGCGCUUGAAGAGGAGCCUGCGGCAGAUUAGCUAGUUGGUAAGGUAAUGGCUUACCAAGGCUACGAUCUGUAACCGGCCUGAGAGGGCGGACGGUCACACUGACACUGAAUAACGGGUCAGACUCCUACGGGAGGCAGCAGUCGGGAAUUUUGGGCAAUGGGCGAAAGCCUGACCCAGCAACGCCGCGUGAAGGAUGAAAUCUUUCGGGAUGUAAACUUCGGAAGAAUAGGAAAGAAAAAAUAGACGGUACUAUUUUAAGGUCCGGCUACUACGUGCCAGCAGCCGCAGUAAC